UCAUUGUCGAUGCCUUGCAAACAAGCGUGACCAGCGAACGAGUUUCUACACUAUCGGGGCGGCCGGCAUUGCUGCGCAUGCUGGCCACCCUGACCACGGGGCGGGGAGGGCCUUGGCCUUCCCCCGCGCCGCAACAAACCCCGGCGCCGAACGCGCCAAGGAACACUAAACUGUUGAGCGUGCGCCCGUCGGCCCGGAAGCGGUGCCUGUUCGGGUUGCGUCGCGACACACGAGUCCAAAAUGACUGUCGGCAACGGAUAUCUCGGCUCUUGCAUCGAUGAAGAACGUAGCGAAAUGCGAUACUUGGUGUGAAUUGCAGAAUCCCGUGAACCAUCGAGUCUUUGAACGCAAGUUGCGCCCGAAGCCAUUAGGCCGAGGGCACGCCUGCCUGGGUGUCACCAAUCGUUUCCCCCAACCCCCGGCGCCCCAGGGCAACGGGGAGGGGCACAUGAUGGCCUCCCGUGAGCCUUGCCUCGCGGCUGGCUGAAAAUCGGGUUCGUGGCCGAGCGCAGCGUCGCGACACAUGGUGGUUGAGCGAAACCUCGAGGCCUUGCCGCGCGCCCGCCUCAGCCGUGUCCGGACCCCGUGACCCGUGAGUGCCAAAGCAUGCUCGUGUUGCGACCUCAGGUCAGGC
RNAcentral lists this ribosomal RNA (634 nucleotides) under Nissolia longiflora. RNAcentral describes it as "eukaryotic LSU rRNA". The stretch from base 243 to 398 matches the Rfam family "5.8S ribosomal RNA". Lineage: Eukaryota; Viridiplantae; Streptophyta; Magnoliopsida; Fabales; Fabaceae. The record is from RNAcentral.